Molecule: long non-coding RNA, 1703 nt
Organism: Mercenaria mercenaria
Lineage: Eukaryota; Metazoa; Mollusca; Bivalvia; Venerida; Veneridae
Exons: 4
Source: RefSeq, a predicted model, not a curated record
CAUUAAAUAGUUGUUGUUCUUUAUUCUAUAUAAAAUUGACCUAUUUCCAAUGACCGCAGAAGAGUGUUGUCAGUGCUAACUCAAAAUCAAAAGAAAAGUGGGGGUCAUGUUUGAUGCAAGAAAAAUAAUUUCAGUCAAACACACAAACUGCAAAAUCAGCAAAAAAUGAGACUCCAAAUUAUACUGGUGGUGUAUGAUCUAAGUUUCCAUGAAAAAUUUUGUCAUGUUAUCAUUUCAUUAUGAAAAUGCUACUUACAUGUCAAGCAUAGAUCUAUCAUGUGAUUUUUGCAAAACAAUUGCAAAGAAAAUAAGGAUAAUACCUCUACAGAGCAAAAAAAACUGAGGCCAUUAUGCGACUACCAUUUUUAGUGCCAUUUUUCUAUUUAGUGUCUGUAUGCCUAUAAGAAGAACUUUUCUCUCACACUGUGCCAGUUUCAUUUGAAAUGUACAAGAAACUCAAAUGCAUGAAAAGAUACAAGGUUUUAGCUUGACCAUGUUGAUAUAAACAGUUUCCAAGUUUUUACAACAUUUUCAGUACCAUAGGACAAAGCAUCAGAUAUAUUGUGUCAAAAAUAGCUGCCGCGACAUAAGUUUGAAGCUAUUACCCUAAAUGCAGCUUUGACAUUUUCUACUCUGACUUGCAUGCAAAUUAUACAUUUAUUAAACUGUUAAAUAUGUUCACUUUUACCUCUGAUGCCCAGAAAAUAGCAAUCAGUAUAGCCUAUAAAAAGCAGUUUUUGAAAAAUAUACACCCAAAACAGUGAAAAGGUGAUAUUUUUGGGUUUUAUCCUCAUUUUCAACAAAAUUGCAAUUAAUUUUCUAUCAAAUUCUAAUCAAAGUAGCCCAUUUCCACCAUCAUCUGGCCAAAUUUUAUUUUUUAUCAAUGUCGUCUUAUAUGGGCCAUCUCGGUUAACCAAAUGGGACCGUUUUGUCUAACAUCAAUACCCCUUACAAGAAUGAAUUGAUACUAAUACAGAUGUAAACUGUGACCAUUCCUCAUCUUUAGACAUCACCUGACCUCAGUUUGACCUUGACCUUUACCUCGUUUUGGACUUAGGUGCAAAAUCUAUCGACAAGGAUACCACUGGGGGCAUUAUGCGUUUUAUAUUGAACGGCAGCUCCUUGUCACAAUUUUAAAGUUUCGUCUAAAUUUAUAAACAUGUCAUUUUGCAAGUAUAUAGUAUUUGUUUUAUUAUAUAUGCCUAUAAAAGAACUAUUCUGCAAAUAUAUUACUGAAAUAUGUUCUCAUUUUUCAGCAGACUUUAGAUGGAUGUUCUUUCCAGAUGUAAAUUAAGUGAAUUGAUGAAAUCCUGAAAAAGUGUUGGUGUUGUCCAGAUAUUAAAAGAAGAAUUGAGGAUCCGAUUUGAUGUGUAAUUCAAAACAAAUCUUCAAAUUGACAAUGGCAAAAAGCAAGGGGAAAUGGAAUACUCCAGUUGAUGAAAAUGGUUAGCAUGGCUAACGUAUGCUUGUGAAAAGUGCAAAGAUCUAUACAGUACUGGGGCAGUAGUUUUUAAGAGAAUUUAAACUGCACUCAGGAGUUGCUUCCCUUCAACUUCAGAAAUCUCUACCUAUAGGUCUGCACAGAUUGAUUGGUCAGUUCACAAACAUUUUGUUAGAAAGUCUGCAAAGCCAUCGACUUGAAUACGUUGGUUUUUUUCAAUGUACCAACAAUAUAGAAAUAAAAUUUGUUUAUAAAUUUGAAA